GAGUGCAGUGUUUAGCACGUCGGGCUGGGAUCCCAGGGGGACGCGGGUUCAAAUCCCCGCGAACGCCA
This 68-nucleotide transfer RNA is filed under the name Sphaerodactylus townsendi. RNAcentral's name for it is "tRNA-Pro". Lineage: Eukaryota; Metazoa; Chordata; Lepidosauria; Squamata; Sphaerodactylidae. The record is from RNAcentral.